This 956-nucleotide small RNA is filed under the name Drosophila virilis. RNAcentral's name for it is "GJ26212". The record is from RNAcentral. Lineage: Eukaryota; Metazoa; Arthropoda; Insecta; Diptera; Drosophilidae.
UAAGACGUCAAAGCAUUCGAAAUUUUCAUUUUUUCUAUAUUUGCUAAAGUCUGGGGGCUUUUGGUCUUGAAAACUGCCAGAAACACGCGCAUUUUCAAGUGUUUUUUUUCACGCUGAGUGCCAAAAAUUUACAUAAUCUUAAUGCAAAGUUGCUACCGAAUGGGCCAAGAGGGGGUUGAUGGACCGGCAGACCGGCGUGGCCGCGGCAGUUUCUUCAAAGGCGCAGACAGCGAUGCGUCAACAGCAACAACAACCAGAACAAAACACUUAAAAUGUGGCCAGCAGAAGGGCAAAGAGUCAAGCCAUAAACAGCUCGAGCAGACAGAAACGGAACUGAGCUCGCAACUCAAGCGCGAGAUGGAAUCAAAGUUAGAGUUGGAGUCGGAUUUAAAAAUGGACUCCAAGAUUCGGGCUGCUCUCGAAUGUGCCUGCAACUAAUGGAAGUUACCGAUUCGUUCCACUUCCAAUUCCAAUUCGAAUACAUGUUCAGCAACCCGUUGAUUUUGUGUGUGUGUGCGAAAAGUUGACAACAAGCAAAUAACUGUUGCAAUCGUUUUGGGGCAGGGGCUGAGGCUCAAUAUGUGUGUACGAGGGGGGGCUGUGAUUUGAGGUCUAUGCGUUCCGAGGGGCGGCAAAACUAUCGCCAGGCACGUCUUGGGAAAGCGCCGCGCGCGUUUUUGGUUUGAGACAAAGCCAAAAAAGGACAAAGGAGUAGAGGGUAAAGGGAAAAGGCGCAACCCUUCCAAGACGUUUGGGAUCUUGGCUUUAUCUUGCGAUGUUUUUGUUGACGCACGGAAGUAGCGGAAGUUGUGUUCAUUAUGUCCUUGCCAAACAGGACAACAACGGAGGCUGACUCGAAGGGAGAGGGAGAGAGAGCGAGUCAAGACAUGGACACAGUGUUGCCAGCUUGGACUUGCCUUUGACUUGUCUAAUAGAAGUUGCAUGUAAAAACAGCG